AUGAACGCUGACAGAAUGCUUAACCCAUGCCAGUCAACUUGAAUUUGGGUUUUUUAACUUAGAUUUGGGUGGCGGACGGGUGAGUAACGCGUAAAGAACUUGCCUCACAGCUAGGGACAACAUUUGGAAACGAAUGCUAAUACCUGAUAUUAUGAUUAUAAGGCAUCUUAGAAUUAUGAAAGCUAUAUGCGCUGUGAGAGAGCUUUGCGUCCCAUUAGCUAGUUGGAGAGGUAACGGCUCACCAAGGCGAUGAUGGGUAGCCGGCCUGAGAGGGUGAACGGCCACAAGGGGACUGAGACACGGCCCUUACUCCUACGGGAGGCAGCAGUGGGGAAUAUUGGACAAUGGACCAAGAGUCUGAUCCAGCAAUUCUGUGUGCACGAUGACGUUUUUCGGAAUGUAAAGUGCUUUCAGUUGGGAAGAAAGAAAUGACGGUACCAACAGAAGAAGUGACGGCUAAAUACGUG
Molecule: ribosomal RNA, 467 nt
Filed under: uncultured bacterium
Lineage: Bacteria
Description: partial 16S ribosomal RNA
Rfam family: Bacterial small subunit ribosomal RNA
Source: RNAcentral